GGGGUCGGCUGCGGUCUGCUGUCGUUGGCGCCUGCCUGUCACGCCGGAGGCCGCGGGUUCGAGUCCCGUCGACCCCGCCC
This 80-nucleotide transfer RNA is filed under the name Acidobacteriota bacterium. Its description in RNAcentral is "Acidobacteria bacterium tRNA-Asp". Lineage: Bacteria; Pseudomonadati; Acidobacteriota. The record is from RNAcentral.